This is a non-coding RNA of Schizosaccharomyces pombe (fission yeast), 689 nucleotides long. The record is from the annotation of a GenBank genome assembly. Lineage: Eukaryota; Fungi; Ascomycota; Schizosaccharomycetes; Schizosaccharomycetales; Schizosaccharomycetaceae.
AGCUUCACCACAGUAUAACAUAAGAUUAUGCGAAUUUAAAAUCUGACUUUUGUCAUCGUCAGGUUUCAAAACAGUAAUUCCACGAACUGCUGAUGAUGAUGAAGCAGUGAGUACAAAAUCCUGACCCUGAACUGCCAGUAGUGAUUCCAUGGCUUUUGAUGGUGGUUUGGUAAAGGUAAAGUGUUGUGCUGAGCUGAGACGUUUAGUACGCUAACGAGAUGCCAAUGGAAAACUAUAGGCGAAAUCAUUCACUCAAUCGUUUAAAUGUCUGUGUUUUAGAAAUAGCUUUUUUUCUUUUUUUUUUAAAGGUUACCGCCGUUGUAGUGUAAUCGUAGUAGCACGUUUAUCUCUUCGUGCUUACUCAUGUACUUUGAAAAUUCAAUACUCUGACAACAUAUAAAUAUCCUGAUUUGAAUAUUACAUUCAAAAAAUAAAAAUUUGGGACGAUACAAGUUCCUUUACUAUUCUAAAAAUGAUUGUUUCUUAUUAUUAAUAGUUAAAGAACUAGCAGUGUCAUUUAACAGUUAUGUCUUAACAUCUAAUUAAAAGGAUCUCAAGCUGUUUACUUGUUACUUAUUUAAACAAUAAAUGAAAAGAAUGUCUUAUUGGUAUUAAAUAAUGCAUAAAUGAAAUUUGGAGCGAGUUGUAUUCAUGGUUCAGAACUUUUAAAUGUUGCUGCCUAUUAUUGU